ACGGCGUUAGUUAAGGGGUAUAACAGUUGCCUUCCACGCGGUACAGCAACAAUGGGGGGUUCGAGUCCCUCACGCCGUA
This 79-nucleotide transfer RNA is filed under the name Malassezia vespertilionis. It matches the Rfam family "tRNA". Rfam says of the family: Transfer RNA (tRNA) molecules are approximately 80 nucleotides in length. The record is from Rfam by way of RNAcentral. Lineage: Eukaryota; Fungi; Basidiomycota; Malasseziomycetes; Malasseziales; Malasseziaceae.